This 591-nucleotide ribosomal RNA is filed under the name Triticum aestivum (bread wheat). Its description in RNAcentral is "partial small subunit ribosomal RNA". Lineage: Eukaryota; Viridiplantae; Streptophyta; Magnoliopsida; Poales; Poaceae. The record is from RNAcentral.
AUGGAGACCGCCACCGCCACCCAGGACCAAGGCCUCACCCGCCGCGCCGUCGGGGGCGUGGACGCCGCGCCGGCGCGGAUGCCCGGUUCCGGCGCCCGCGCCACCAGCCGGGACCCGAAGAGGAAGCUGGGCCGCGCCAAGCGGGGCCUCCGGUCGCUCGCGGCCGCCGUCACGGUCUCGGCCGCGCUCACCGCGGCCGCCUUCUACGCCUCCGGCGCCGGCUCGUCCUCGGGGACGGCCAAGGCGCCGUCGGCGGCGAUGGUGGCGAUCGCGCGGGCAGGGUCGGUGGCCGCGGAGGCCGUGAUGGCGCUGGCCGCGUGGAUGGUGUGGGCGGAGGGCGGGCUCCACGGGCGGCCCGGCGCGACGCUGGCGCCGUUCGCCGCGCAGCUCCUGGCGGCCGCGGCGUGGCCGGCGCUGGCGCUCAGGCUCGGGGCCGGGUGGGCCGGGAUGGCGUGCUGCGCCGCCAUGGCCGCCGGCGCUGGCGCCUGCGUCCGCGGGUUCGGCGGCGUGAACCCCGUCGCCGGCGACCUCGCCAAGCCGUGCGUCGCCUGGGCCGUGCUCCUCGCCGUGAUGAACUACAAGAUGCUGUAG